RNAcentral lists this ribosomal RNA (463 nucleotides) under uncultured bacterium. Its description in RNAcentral is "partial 16S ribosomal RNA". It matches the Rfam family "Bacterial small subunit ribosomal RNA", at positions 30 to 507 of the family's 1533-position model. The record is from RNAcentral.
CGACCGCUGGCGGCGUGCUUAACACAUGCAAGUCGAACGGAAAGGCCCCUUUGGGGGUACUCGAGUGGCGAACGGGUGAGUAACACGUGAGUAACCUGCCCUUGACUUCGGGAUAACUUCAGGAAACUGGGGCUAAUACCGGAUAGGAAUCCUUGCUGCAUGGUGGGGGUUGGAAAGCUUCGGCGGUUUUGGAUGGACUCGCGGCUUAUCAGCUUGUUGGUGGGGUAGUGGCUUACCAAGGCUUUGACGGGUAGCAGGCCUGAGAGGGCGACCGGCCACAUUGGGACUGAGAUACGGCCCAGACUCCUACGGGAGGCAGCAGUGGGGAAUAUUGCACAAUGGGCGGAAGCCUGAUGCAGCAACGCCGCGUGCGGGAUGACGGCCUUCGGGUUGUAAACCGCUUUCAGCAGGGGCGAAGCUUGUGGUGACGGUACCUGCAGAAGAAGCACCGGCUAACUACGUG